AGCGCUACCGGGUCGACCCCUCGCGUCACGACCAGAUAGUCCCGCAUCACGAUCGAAUGCUUGUUCUC
This is a small RNA of Rhodococcus jostii RHA1, 68 nucleotides long. It matches the Rfam family "ASdes TB sRNA". The record is from Rfam. Lineage: Bacteria; Bacillati; Actinomycetota; Actinomycetes; Mycobacteriales; Nocardiaceae.